This 493-nucleotide ribosomal RNA is filed under the name fungal sp. Hy6. RNAcentral's name for it is "SSU rRNA". It matches the Rfam family "Eukaryotic small subunit ribosomal RNA", at positions 248 to 739 of the family's 1831-position model. The record is from RNAcentral. Lineage: Eukaryota; Fungi.
AUNACAUAAUAACUUCACGAAUCGCAUGGCCUUGCGCCGGCGAUGGUUCAUUCAAAUUUCUGCCCUAUCAACUUUCGAUGGUAGGAUAGUGGCCUACCAUGGUGGCAACGGGUAACGGGGAAUUAGGGUUCGAUUCCGGAGAGGGAGCCUGAGAAACGGCUACCACAUCCAAGGAAGGCAGCAGGCGCGCAAAUUACCCAAUCCCGAUACGGGGAGGUAGUGACAAUAAAUACUGAUACAGGGGCUCUUUUGGGUCUUGUAAUUGGAAUGAGAACAAUCUAAAUCCCUUAACGAGGAACAAUUGGAGGGCAAGUCUGGUGCCAGCAGCCGCGGUAAUUCCAGCUCCAAUAGCGUAUAUUAAAGUUGUUGCAGUUAAAAAGCUCGUAGUUGAACCUUGGGCCCGUCCUGCCGGUCCGCCUCACCGCGAGUACUGGUCCGGAUGGGCCUUUCUUUCUGGGGAAUCCCAUGGCCUUCACUGGCUGUGGCGGGGAAC